GAAGUUCAGCAUGGCCUUUCAAGUUGAGUAAAAAGGAAAGGACAAUGCCAUCAAUUGUUGGAACAUUUAGGUAAUGGCAAGUAGCUAAUGUACCGAUAAUUUUUCCUCCCAUGCUCAGGAUGAUCAUAAGGACAACUGCUAUGACAUUUCUGUAACUAUUCAGGUAUGUUAUAUUGAACUGGAAUCCUAUGUAUCCAAAGUAAAUUGGGAGAAUGAAGUUGUA
RNAcentral lists this unclassified non-coding RNA (223 nucleotides) under Hevea brasiliensis (rubber tree). Lineage: Eukaryota; Viridiplantae; Streptophyta; Magnoliopsida; Malpighiales; Euphorbiaceae. The record is from RNAcentral.